UACGUAGGGGGCAAGCGUUGUCCGGAAUCAUUGGGCGUAAAGCGCGUGUAGGCGGCCCGAUAAGUCCGCUGUGAAAGUCCAGGGCUCAACCCUGGGAUGCCGGUGGAUACUGUCGGGCUCGAGUCCGGAAGAGGCGAGUGGAAUUCCUGGUGUAGCGGUGAAAUGCGCAGAUAUCAGGAGGAACACCCGUAGCGAAGGCGGCACUCUGGGCCGAUACUGACACUGAGGAGCGAAAGCGUGGGGAGCGAACAGG
This 253-nucleotide ribosomal RNA is filed under the name uncultured bacterium. RNAcentral describes it as "partial 16S ribosomal RNA". It matches the Rfam family "Bacterial small subunit ribosomal RNA", at positions 524 to 776 of the family's 1533-position model. The record is from RNAcentral.